UACGUAGGUCCCGAGCGUUGUCCGGAUUUAUUGGGCGUAAAGCGAGCGCAGGUGGUUUAUUAAGUCUGGUGUAAAAGGCAGUGGCUCAACCAUUGUAUGCAUUGGAAACUGGUAGACUUGAGUGCAGGAGAGGAGAGUGGAAUUCCCGGUGUAACGGUGGAAUGUGUAGAUAUCGGGAAGAACACCAAUGGCGAAGGCAGGUCUCUGGGCCGUUACUGACGCUGAGGAGCGAAAGCGUGGGGAGCGAACAGG
Molecule: ribosomal RNA, 252 nt
Filed under: uncultured bacterium
Lineage: Bacteria
Description: partial 16S ribosomal RNA
Rfam family: Bacterial small subunit ribosomal RNA
Source: RNAcentral